RNAcentral lists this small nuclear RNA (106 nucleotides) under Microtus ochrogaster (prairie vole). The record is from RNAcentral. Lineage: Eukaryota; Metazoa; Chordata; Mammalia; Rodentia; Cricetidae.
AUGCUCUCUUUGGCAGCACAUAUACUAAAACUGAAACUCUACAGAGAAGGUUAGCAUGACCCCUGUCAAAGAUGAUACACAAAUUCACAAAACAUUCCAUAUUUCU